UUUUGAGAGAAAUCUAAUGGCUAAAACUAAACAAUACACCCCCCAGUCUAUUAAAGGAACGAAUGUCGUACAAACUUGAAUUGCUCAAUUUAACUGCCCAAUCAAUAUCGGAUUGAGCCGAAAACUUGGUCAACAUCAUAAUAUGGUCGGAGGAAUUAUUUGGUGUGUUUUGAGUGAAAUUCAAUCCCUAAAACCAUGCAAUAC
Molecule: long non-coding RNA, 204 nt
Filed under: Prunus persica (peach)
Lineage: Eukaryota; Viridiplantae; Streptophyta; Magnoliopsida; Rosales; Rosaceae
Description: long non-coding RNA (PPER_LNC008098)
Source: RNAcentral